RNAcentral lists this ribosomal RNA (468 nucleotides) under uncultured bacterium. RNAcentral's name for it is "partial 16S ribosomal RNA". It matches the Rfam family "Bacterial small subunit ribosomal RNA", at positions 28 to 507 of the family's 1533-position model. The record is from RNAcentral.
GACGAACGCUGGCGGCGUGCUUAACACAUGCAAGUCGAACGGAAAGGCCCUGCUUUUGUGGGGUGCUCGAGUGGCGAACGGGUGAGUAACACGUGAGUAACCUGCCCUUGACUUUGGGAUAACUUCAGGAAACUGGGGCUAAUACCGGAUAGGAGCUCCUGCUGCAUGGUGGGGGUUGGAAAGUUUCGGCGGGUGGGGAUGGACUCGCGGCUUAUCAGCUUGUUGGUGGGGUAGUGGCUUACCAAGGCUUUGACGGGUAGCCGGCCUGAGUGGGUGACCGGCCACAUUGGGACUGAGAUACGGCCCAGCCUCCUCCGGGAGGAAGCAGUGGGGAAUAUUGCACAAUGGGCGGAAGCCUGAUGCAGCAACGCCGCGUGCGGGAUGACGGCCUUCGGGUUGUAAACCGCUUUCGCCUGUGACGAAGCGUGAGUGACGGUAAUGGGUAAAGAAGCACCGGCUAACUACGUG